AAAGAGCUGUGGAGCCUGAGAUUACUCUGUUUCAAUUUAAUAUCCUUGGAUGUGAAGUAGCUUGGGUGAUUUCUGGUGUAGUUGGCUUUAUAAAUGCUCCCAGGAACUUCUUUCAUACGACAUUUAAUUCGUUUUAGGACAGGUGCUCCCUCUUUUCUAAAUGUUUUUCCAUUAGUGUUCUCUUUAAUGCUUCCUUGUUCUGGGUUAUUCACCAAAUAAAAAUACUUGCUUUUAUGGUUGAUGUAGCUGCAUUUGUUGAGUAUAUUUAUUUUAUUGGCACUCAGGGCCUGGAGACAUCCUUGAAGGAUCAGAGGAGGGUCAUUACGAUACAAUCCAUGACGGACCGAAGAGAAAGAUCCAUUGCGGAUCGGAUCUGAUUCAAAAAGAAUCCUAGCGAAGCAUGAAGCUUCAAAGAGUUGAGAGCACAUAAACGGCUCUUUUUUGGAAAAACUCGUUCCUAAAAGGAAUGUUAUGGUGCAUGCGGUCGCAAGAAAGUUACAGGAUGGACACCAAUCCUUUGAAUUUUAAAUAGCAAUGAAAUCAUGCCCUAAUUGUCAAUUUAGUUAGAAAAAAAGUAUAUUUAUAUUGGCAAGCAUGAUGAGGUGUGGUCUAGUGCUUAAAAAUAUUUAUAUUGUAGAUUGAUCGUAUACGAAUCGAUUAACGAAGACGAUAAAAAUAUUGUUGGUACAAGUGUGAGAACUUAAAGCUAUGUGAUACUGUUAUUCGUGUGUGAGAUUGAGAUAUGAUCAUGAGUUGGCUUCGAUGUCGGUUCAUAUCUUACUAAUGACAACAUUGCUGUUUUUUAUUCAUACGUGUGAGGUUGUGAUACACAAAGUUAGAAAAAUACAACUGA
RNAcentral lists this long non-coding RNA (853 nucleotides) under Linum usitatissimum (flax). Its description in RNAcentral is "long non-coding RNA (LUSI_LNC003047)". The record is from RNAcentral. Lineage: Eukaryota; Viridiplantae; Streptophyta; Magnoliopsida; Malpighiales; Linaceae.